Molecule: unclassified non-coding RNA, 1286 nt
Filed under: Bombus terrestris (buff-tailed bumblebee)
Lineage: Eukaryota; Metazoa; Arthropoda; Insecta; Hymenoptera; Apidae
Description: misc RNA ENSBTSG00005038522.1
Source: RNAcentral
GUGGGCGGUCGCUUGUAGUAGUCGAAACGAAAGGUACCGGGCUAAAUUUAAAUUCCAAACAUCCGUGAUACAGACUUCGGAGAAAAAAUGGCAGACCACCGAUGUGGAUUUUGGAGAGAAUUUCGUCGAGCGAACGAACAGUCUUUGGAGAAGAUUUUUCCACCUUUCGUUCCACGAACUUACUCGUUACGUCCAACUCUUUGCGUUUCUGCACAUUUUAUUUGUUUAACUUUCAUCGCGAAGUUAUUGAUUUGAUGUCUGUAUUCAGGCUUCGAGUUUCUUUCUUCCCGGAGAAACGAAGCGCGAUGAACGAGCCGAUGUUCCUCCCAUCGAGUGUCUGUGUUAAAUCGUUUUUAACAUAAUCGAAUAACAAAUAAUACCAUAGAAAUAACGCGACUGCAGGAAAUAUACGUACACUACGGAUAUUUAUGCACUGGCAGGAAAUUUAAUGGCGCAAAAAUAUACAGAAUCCACAUAAUAUCCAAAACUAUGCAAAAUAUUCGAAGUAAAGUACUCGUUAUAAUAAAAUAAAUCUCCCCUUAGGAUUCAUUUCCUUCUUUACAUUAAUAAACUCCGAAUCCAUCAUAAUCCAAUUAAACCUUAAUCUUCCGAUAAUCGAACAAAAUUGCUAUCGUAAUGAGUGAAAAAAUCGCGCAUCUGUCCAACAGUUUCACCCUUCUCCUUUCUACUUCGCAUCUACCCUCCCUUCCUCUUCCUUCCAUCUUGCUCUGUACCAUUUUCCAAACAUCGUCCAUGCGUUAUGCACGCUACGUGCGGCUACCAGCUACAUGGCUAAGAUCCAGAGAGUGUUCCUGCUAUAUUAAGACCGCCUUAUAUAACGUUCAGUCAUAUCCGCGCGGCUCCCUCUAUGAACCUUUAAUAUGCUGAAACGUGGACGCGCGAGCGCCACUUCCUGCGACGCGGACCUCGCAACGUUGAAGCGCAAAAGUAGUCGCUUGAAUUAGAUUUUCCGAGAAACCUCGUUCGACCAGGUAGCACGGCCAGAGAUUUCCGCCAUGGCGGAAGACAUCGAACGACUUCCGGUUGAACCGUCAAAGAUAGCUGUCGCGCGGCAGACAGCUGAUUGCUGCUGUUGAAAGCGAAACGCCCCUGAUGUGUUCUCAAACGUCGCAUCCUACUUGCGGUAUGAAAUCUGGAGAAAUAGGAAGAGAUACGAGAAAGUACGAACGCAGAAUUAGCCAGGAAAAUCGUAUAACGGUCGAUGGUUAGGACAGCAUCGCUUGAUGAAAAUUGAAGUGUUCUCGUAUGCCUCAUGGACGUUUCUG